GGGGCUUCCACGGAGAACAAAGGCCUCUGUGAAGCCUGAACUCCAGUAGGGCCCAAGCCAGCCAGGAAGGAGGAGGCAGCCAGAGAGGCCUCCACUGUUCUCUGCAGCAGAAGACCCCUUGCUGCCAGCCAGCCACCAGCCAUGCGUAGGGAUGUGGCGAGGCUAUGCGUGCUGGCGAGGGAGGCACCUGAUUGGCUGGGCGCCGGUUGGCUACUGUUGACAGUGAGGAGAAGCAGGGUUGAAGAACAGAAUAGAAGAUCAGGGAUUUCCUUUCACUGACCUGAUGCAGAAGCAAUCCUGCCGGAGCACUACCAACACAGAAGCCCUAUUUACACAUUAUGUUCAACACUCAUACAAUGAGUGUACAGUGUGCACAUGUACAGAUCUGUAAACAGCUGUAGUGAUCAGACUCCCCUCACCCUAAAAAGUUAACUGGAAGUGAACUCUACCUUGACUGACAAGCUGGUGAACUCCAGGGCUCAGCCAAUCAGCACACCAGUUGGGUGGGACCUAGAGAGCUGUUGCCAGGAAGAGGGGAGUUUUUUUGGUAGAGGAGGACAUGUGGCCAUGGAGUUUGGCUGCAGGAAAAUAGCCCUGCAGAUCUUUGAAAGACAGGAGGGCAGGAGGCUUGAAUUCUCAUCUGGAGUUUGUGUUCUUUCAAAGGAGAGGGACAAGAUUUCAUUAUUGAACUGAACCGUAGGUGCCCUAACCUUUUCAUGCAGUGAAUCACAAUUAACAGUAAUUGGUUCUAUCUUUAUGGUACAAUAUACCUCUGUUGACAAAUUCAGAUAUCUGAUAUCUUGGAGCACACAGUAAUAAUAGAGAGAUGGAGCACCUGAAGAGUGAAAUACGGAAAAUGUUGACUACACGUUCAACCUAUUCUCUCCGAUAAAUAAAUGAAGUUGUUUCCUGACAAUGAACUAUUGAAAAGGGAAGAAACACAAUGCAUAGAGAGAAUAAAAGAGAGAGGAGAAACUAAGAUACAGGUGUUAUCAAAUGGGAAAAGAACAGAAUGUACACCAAUCUAAAGAUAUUUUUACAAAUUGCUACCAACAGCAUAGACAGCUAUGAUAAGUAGUGACAGCUAAGACUAAAAUGUUCACCCUCCCCCUAAACAAAAUGCUGGUUUAAUAACAGAUAGAAACAAUUGUGUUGAUCAAUGUGUUCUCUACUGCAUUUUUGUGUGUGUAUAAUAAAAUAUAUCUGAGAUUCAA
Long non-coding RNA from Hemicordylus capensis (graceful crag lizard), 1214 nucleotides. RefSeq lists it as uncharacterized. NCBI's taxonomy places the organism in Eukaryota, Metazoa, Chordata, Lepidosauria, Squamata, Cordylidae. The transcript is spliced from 5 exons. The record is from RefSeq and is a predicted model, not a curated record.